This 6949-nucleotide long non-coding RNA is filed under the name Marmota monax (woodchuck). The record is from RNAcentral. Lineage: Eukaryota; Metazoa; Chordata; Mammalia; Rodentia; Sciuridae.
ACCUAGCUCUCAAACAGGUAAGUAAGAAACCAGCUGCAGACAUGAUCUAUGUCAUAUAUAUAUCUGUAUUUCCAAUGUGUAGGUCACUGUCUAUGCCAUAAUGAUAAAUAACAUCACACACCAUGUUAAUAAUAAUUGUAUUCACUUAUAUAAUAUUUAGGUUGUAGUGAUCAUAUAAUUUAAACACAUUAAUUAAUUUCAUCUUAUGACAAUUGUAUGAGAUAGGCAUUAUUAUUAUAUUUGUUUCAUAGAUGAGGAAAUUAAAGUCUGUUAACAAAUGAGAGAAUGGAAGCCUGCUGGAUGUAAUGAUAUGGACUGUCUGGAGACAAUUUCUCAUAUCUAAAGAGUAAGUCCAACAGGAGGAAUUUGUGCUCUGUACACUAUUUAAGAAGAGAAAGUAUUGGGGGCACAUGGCCCCAGAAUGGGAGAGAACGAGUCUUUGAAAUUACUUCAGUGACACAUGAUGGACUUAGUAUUUCAGGGGUCUCUCCUUGUCGGUGGUCUUGCUUCAAACAUCUCUUCUCUAUCAUUUUUUCUGAUUUUUUUUUAAAAAGAAGUGCUGGAGCUAAGAAUAUUUAAAUGUGUUGUCCAGGUCAGAACAGUUCUGUGAGGAAGUUAGAACUCCACAAUUCAAGUAUCAUAACCAGUUAUGGGAACUUGUGGGACCAUGUUGGACCUCGGUACUCUUCUUGCCCUGAAUGUCUCUGCAUUGGUAUUCUAUGCUAUAUAACAAAUAAUCAAAAACCUAGCAGCUUAAAAGAAUAUAUGUUUACUAUCUCAGUUUCAGUGGAUCAGGAGUUUGAGAAUGGCGUAUCUAGAUAUCACAAUGUUGAAAACUGUCAGCCAAACUGUGUUCUCAUCUGGAGGGUUGGAUUGGGGAAGAAUAUACAUCACAUAGGUUAUGAGCAGAAUUCAUUUCCCUGCAGAUGUAGAACUGAAGGCCUGAGAUUCUUGCUGAUUGUUGUGUGACAGCUGCCCUCAGCUUCUUACGUGUAUCCGAAGGAUCGUAAAUGAAGAAGUCUCAGACGGUACCUCAAAGAUCUCACUCAGGUCACCUGAGAAUGUGCUUCGUUAAUUAUUAGUGUUUUCACUUCAGGGUAGUGGAAACGGUGUCAGGUAACGAUCUUCAUUUAGUAUUCAGGACGGGUGGAGUCUACCUCCCGUACUCAUAGUCUUCUAUCCUAAGAGUCCUCAGUACGAUCCAAAAUAGACGGUGUCAGAGAGUCUCGAGUGAAUUUCCUUUGAGAUAAUCCGUCUUGACAAUACACCUGACGUAAGUGGUUCAUACGCUUUCUCGUUAUAGUCCCUGGAACAGACUUAACAAGUUUCUCCAUAGGGUGCAGAUUUUCUGUCGGACGGUGGAGUAGGUUUUUCCAGACAGACAGGUACCUUUUUACUCUCUCACUGAAGAGAAUUGUACAGACAAUAUGUCUUUUUUUAUUCAUUUAUUUGUUUGUACUGUCCGUCCUUUUCCCGAUCUUUUAGAUGAAUGACAAUAAAACUACCGAGAAGUGAUGAUAAACGAGGGUCAAUUGAUCAGAAUAAAAGAUACACAGAAGGUCAUUGACAAAGAUGUUGUUUAGAAAAAAAAUUGGCUAGGAAAAAAGGGAAGAGGAAGUAGACUCUCUGUGAGGGCCCCUUUUCUGGUGGACUGAAACCCAAACUGCUUUCUGGAGGGCUUGAAACCCAGCCCCCAGGAGUCUUUGGUAGUCCUUGAUCUUCAGAGAGAAACUCUGGCAGGGCUAUGAAAAUGUCAACAAAGGUGUUUAUUUAUUUAUUUAUUUAUUUAUUUAUUUUAUUCCUUCCUUUUCAACAAUACUGUGCUUUGUUUUUUUCCCAUAUUUUUUAUUGAGAAAAUUUUUAUUUUAUUGGGAAAUUUAUUUAUAGUUGGACAUAAUGGUGGUAUUUGUUGUUACGUAUUCAUACAUAAUAGAACAGUAUAAUUUAGCUAUUACCAUCCCCCAGUUCUUCUCUUUCUUCUUCUCCUCCCUUCCCCAUCCCUUUCCUCUAUUCUACUGAUCUCCCUUCAAGUUUCAUGAGACCCCACGACACACACACCUUUCUUUUGCUUUUUCUUUUCUAGCUUCCACAUAUGAGAAAACAUACAACCCUUGACCUUCUGAGUUUGGUUUGUUUUGCUCAAUAUAUGUUCUCAAGUUCCAUCUUCUUUCCUGAAAAUGACACAAUUUCAUUUUUCUUUAUGUCAUGUCUUUCUUUCUUACAGUACUUUAUGGCUGGCAAACCUCUUUCAGACAAAAUUUGCUUUGAGUCUUAAUCUCCAGGGGCAACACUGGACACAAAGAGAAAGCAAAUGGAAAGACAGGGAAAAUGUCAAAGAGCCAAACAAAGACCAAAGCAGAUGCUUGGAUCCCUGAACACCUGACUAUUCCUGAAGCGUUUCCCCACUAGGCCUCUUGCAUGGCAGUACUUUUGACCCAGGUGCUGAGGCUGUGGACACGAAAUAGGUAGGCGCAGAUGCACCCAGAAGACUCUCAAGACAGUACUUUGCCAUUUUUUAAAACAUGUAGAUAUAAGACAGAGGUUGAGUAGCAAACAGCCACAUGAUAGACAAGUUUAACAUUUAAAAUACUGGCUAUGGUCCACGUGCAAGUGUGUGCUCAAGUGGUAGAUACAGGAAUCGGAGAGCGUGCCCAAACUCACACUCUAUAAAUUGUGUUAUUAUGAAGCAGGGAACAGGGACUCUUUAAGAGGAAAGAAAACAGGGCUUUCUAGGCACAGAAGUUCAAGGUGAGUGAGGACAGACAAGUACAGGGAUCAGCAUUAGAGACUGCCUUGGGCCUCCCUUUCAGUAGAUUUUUAACAACUCCAACUGCACAGAAACUGUCAAAUGGGAAAGAGGAGCCAUUCCAGACUGAGCCUUCACAAAAAUUUAUGAAUUGGAACAUAAUAUAUAACUAAGAGGUAGGCACUGAAAUCCAACCAGGAAAAAUUCUAAGAAGGAGAAAUCUUCUCCCAAGAAGAAACAGUGACCAUGAAAACCUAAAAUUAAAAAUAUCAGCAAGUAAUCACUGUUGCCAUUUCCCCCCAUGACUUUGAGCUGCUAAUUGUGUUAGGAGUUUCUAAGAAAUUCUCACUUGUAUCACUGAUAGUCCUAUCUCACCAGCAGCUCCAGAAACUCUGUAACCUGGCAUUCCUCCAAAGUCUAAAGGUUUUAUUCCUCUUGUUCUUUCCCUCCUUUCUCUACCUUAUGGUUAAUGAUGAGACAUGAUAUUCUCUUGCUAUUACUGCUGAAUGAGAGGGUUGGAGAGGAGGCCCAGAAUACUUUUUCUCCUUCCAUAAGUUGCUCAAAUCAUCCUUCAAUCCCAACUAACCAGGAGCGAAGCCUAAAGGUAUUUAGACUCUCAAAUACUGACCUAUCUGUCCAAUUUCUGUAAUUAUAAAUAUUUUUAGAGAGAGAGAGAGAGAAAUAGAAUUUUUUAAUUUUAAUUUUUUAGUUUUCUGUGGACACAACAUCUUUAUUUUAUUUGUAUGUGGUGCUGAGAAUCGAACCCAGUGCCCCGAGCAUGCCAGGCGAGCAUGCUACCGCUUGAGCCACAUCCCCAGCCCCAAUUAUAAAUAUUUUUAAAAGAUAUAUUUGAACUUUGAAUGCACAGGGUUAGGGUAGUUUCUCUCUAGAGACAAAAUGUACAUUGGCAAAUAUUUUAUAUGCGACUCAGGGACAGACAGAAUUCCUUGAACUAGCUACAAAGAUACGCAGUCACAGGAGUGUCCCCUUCUCUCCAGAUAGAGAAGCCAUUGAGAACAGGAUGUGCUGCAUUCUUUGGGUACACCAUGAACAAAAAGGUUAUACUGUGAACUUAAUGGACCUAAACAUUAACUGGUAAUUGAGAAGAGGGCUAGGCAUACCAAGGAUGCUCAGUCCAAGUUCUCAGGGCCUUUAAUAUAUACAAGAAUGAUAAAAAUAGGGGAGGGGGAAGUGGUAAAGGAGAAAAACAUGCAAACUGCGAGUAGAUAAGUGUCACCUCAAAACUUAUGGUCAAGACCAAAUAGCAUUCAAUAAAAUUGAAAUGUUGGGCUGGGGAUGUGGCUCAAGCAGUAGCGCACUCGCCUGGCAUGCGUGCCGCCCGGGUUCGAUCCUCAGCACCACAUACAAAGAUGUUGUGUCCGCCGAAAACUAAAAAAUAAAUAUUAAAAUUCUCUCUCUCUCUCUCUCUCUCUCUCUCUCUCUCUCUCUCUCUCUCUCUUUAAAAAAAAUUGAAAUGUUAUUUUGUGCUUAAGGAAUAAAGUUGAACAAAAGGUCAAAAGACGGAAAAUAAAUUUAUCUGGGACUUGAACAGUCUAAGCAACAGAUUCUAUGUUGUCAUUUGAGAUAACACUUGCCAGAUUAUAUUAAGGUUCACUAAAAGUUGUUCUCCAAGUUGACAAAGUAACCAAGUCUUUUUUCUAGGCUUUUCUUUCUUUUCUUUUGUUUUUGUUCAUUUGUUUUACCUGCAGACUUUUGAUGGCUGGAUUGAGAAGAUAGUAAAUAAGAAAACAUGUAUAAAAUCAGAUAAUUCUGGCUCCCUUUGGGUGUCAUUGCUAAUGGGUGAUAAACAAUUCAGGCCUUCUCUUUCUCCAUUUGGAAAACAUUGACUUGGUAUUAGUUUGCCAGUGCUGCCAUAACACAGUACCACAGACUAGGUGGCUUCAGCAGUGGAGAGUUAUUUUCAUAGAGUUCUGAAGACUAGAAUCUUGAGACCAAGGGGUGAGCAAAGUUGGUUUCUCUUAAGGAAUUCCUCUAUGGCUUUUAGAAAGCCAUCUUGUCCUAAUGUCAUCUUAAAAAGACAUCAGCCAUAUCCAACUAAGGCCACUAUAGCUCUUUUAAACUUAAUUGCCUCUUUAAAGGGAUCUCUAAAUACAGCCACAUUCUGAGGACUGGGGAUUAGGAAUAUAAAUUUGGGGGUGGGGAAAACAAAUUCAUCCCAUAACAGUCUUUGAGGAAGUAGAGACAAGAUGAAAAUUUUUAGAGGGAUCUUUAAUCCACUUCACAUUCUCCCAUACCCUGAGGACUCUGUGGAGGACAAAGAUUCCCAGCUUCUCCUGUGGCCAGGGAUGAUUCUUAAUUUGAAAAUCCAUAGUUGGGUCUAGGAUUUGGCCUCGGGGUUCUUUGUGGAAAGUCAAGCAAUGAUCAGAGGGAAUUUACAGCAGUGUUUCCUCUCUCUUCUAUGUCAAAACUAUAGUUUCUAAGUGGACAUUAUAACUGCUCUCACACACAUACUAGUACAGCUGUAUUUUGGAGGUGUCAAUAUCAUUUAAUUACAAAAUACAAAAUAUUUACACUUUUUAUCUCAAUUUUCUAAAAUGUGAUGCACAUGCCAUUGGCAAUACCUGAGACAUUAUUGUGUGGCACAUAAGCAGAGUGUUAAGUAGCAUUAAAUCAAAUAGUGAGGAAGUUAUUUCCUUGCACUAUUUUUAGUUCUUUUGGUUAAACCAAAAAGAAUGUGUCAUAUUGGAAUUAAUAUCCCUUAAACACUUGACAGAGAGCAGACCUUAGGUCAGAGACUUUAGCAAACAAAAAUAUUCAUCUAGAGCCUAAUAGCAUUGUUUAGUCUCUGUUAUAGUUAUUCUUGUACUUAAAUUCCUCAUUGAGGAAGUGAUAAUGUUCUUCCAUUUACUUUUUUAAAUCAAUCUUUAUUUAAUAUUGAGUUAAUUUAAAGAAAACAUUAAGGGAAUAGUAGUGCAGGUAGUAUUUAAAUGUGGCAAAUAUUAUGCUGUCAAGUUACAAGUGACUAAAAUUUGGGGAAAAUUGUUUUCAUCUAAUUCUUCUUCUUUUUUUUAAUUGUAGUGGUAGAUGGACAGAAUGUCUUUAUUUAUUUCUGUAAUUUUUUUAAUGUGGUGCUAAGGAUUGGACCCAGUGCCUCACUCAUGCUAGGCAAGUGCUCUGCCACUAAGCUAUAGUCCCAGUCCUUUCAUCUAAGUCUUCAAGCAAAUUUACAAGGUUUGAUCAUAUUCAACCACAUUUUGAUAAAGAAAAAAUUGAGGCUCAACAUGGCUGUUUUUCAGUCUCCCACUUAGUUAUUUACAGAGCCAGGAUUCACAUACAUGUGGCUGACUAAAAGGAUUAUGCCCUUAAUUACUAAACCAUGUCACUUAUCCAUCAGACCCUCUGCAGCACUUUGAGUAAAAGAAGGUAAGUCCCUAAAGGAAAAUACCUGAGCUAUGGGAAGGAGGGCCAACAUAAGUUGGGAUUUGACUGGUAUGUGAAUACAGUAGUCUCCUCUUAUUCCUAUUUUUGCUUUCUGCAGUUUCAGCAGUCAUCAGAGAAUUGGAAAGUGGAAAGUUCCAGAAAUAAACAACUGCACGCUGUUCUCAAUAGUGGAGUAAAAUCUUACACUGUCCUGCUGUCUCCUCAGGAAGUGGAUCAUCCUUUUGUCCAAUGUAUCCAUGCUGUAUAUGCUACUUGCCCUUUACUCACUUAGCCAUCUUGGUUAUCAGUUCCACUGCUGCAAUAUCUCACAGUGCUUGUUUUCAAGUAAACUUUAUUUUACUUGAACAAAGUGCAACAGUAGUGAUGCUAAUAAUUUGGAUGUGUCAAAGAGAGGCCACAGGGAAAUUCCCUGAAGGGAAAAAAGUGAAAGUUCUCUAUUUAAUAAGGAAAGAAAAAGGUUGUAUGCUGAGGAUGCUAAGAUCUAUGGUAAGAACAAAUCUUCUAUUAAAUUGUGAAGAAUGAAGAAGAAUUUCAUGCUAGUUUUGCUAUCAUAACACAAACUGAAAAAGUUAUAGCCAUGGUACAUGAUAAACACUGAGUUGAGAUGGAAAAGACAUUAAAAUUGUGUCUGCAUAUAUAGGAAAAACCAGAAUGUACAGGGUUUGAUACUAUCCAGUUUUCGGCAUUCACUGAAUGGCUUAGAAUGUAUCUCUUGUGGAUACCGGGUGGGGUAGGGGAGAACUAUUGUGCUUAUUUAGUCACCAAUAAAUUUGACCUGAGUGUCUUCUGUCAGUCAAUAAA